RNAcentral lists this long non-coding RNA (782 nucleotides) under Homo sapiens (human). Its description in RNAcentral is "non-protein coding lnc-HSPB6-2:1". The record is from RNAcentral. Lineage: Eukaryota; Metazoa; Chordata; Mammalia; Primates; Hominidae.
CCCCACACCGACAACUCCCCGGCUUCCAGACCCUACCAGCACUACCCUAACCCUCAGCCGACAGUCUCAGCCCCACCGACCCACUUUCUUGGCAUAUAGCCCCACUUAAGACCCCUCCUCUACUUCCUUCUGAGUCCUCUACAAAGACAUCCGGGUACUACAUUUCCAUCCCUUCCCUAUUUUGACACCAAAUUAUGGUGUAGACAGCCCUCCCCCAACCCCAGGCCAGUCAGGCACAAUCCCCCCACCCCCCAAACGUCCUGGACUGCACAGACCUCCCACUCCAGACCAUCCAGGCCUGGUUCCCAAGACCCGAUCCUUCCCCUGCAACCAGACAGUCUACAACUGCCCCCUCCAGCCCAUUUUCUGCCGUGAAACCCCAGCCAGCCACACCAGACUCUGGAACCCUUUUUCGACUGCCCCAACUCUUGGACACCAGGCCAACUAGAACACCCAACACCAAACUGUACAGACUCUCCCACCCCAACCUCCCCAGACUCUGCACGGAUGUCCUAGGCCCCCUCCCCAACUCUAACCAGACCCCAUCCCCCUAAGUCCCUUUGUCUUGACCCCCAAGUCUUCAACCAGAUAUCCUCGGCAACCCACCUCCCACCCUCCUCCUCUUCUCCUUCAAGACCCAACUGAGCACCCGCUCUGAUUCCCCACAGCCUUUCUCCCUGCCACCACUCCCUUAGUCUUUCCCAGGCUUACUCUCCCAAUAAAUGUGCUAGAGCUCUGCCAACUGCUUUGUGCCUGGGCCAGGAAGGAGGGACCGGAGCAGA